RNAcentral lists this ribosomal RNA (439 nucleotides) under uncultured eukaryote. RNAcentral's name for it is "eukaryotic LSU rRNA". It matches the Rfam family "Eukaryotic large subunit ribosomal RNA", at positions 670 to 1097 of the family's 3401-position model. The record is from RNAcentral.
GGAGUCUAACAAAUACGCGAUUAUGUUGGUGUUUGUAAACCAUGCAUGAGCAAUGAAAGUAAGCGGUGCCAAUCGCAAGAUGCAGCAUCGGCCGAUCGUGCGCCUCUGGCAAAACGUGUUGGCUACGAGCGUAUCUGUUAGGACCCGAAAGAUGGUGAACUACGCUUGGGUAGGAUGAAGCCGGAAGAAAUUCCUGUUGGAGGUCCGAAACGGUACUGACGUGCAAAUCGUUCGUCAAACUUGAGUGUAGGGGCGAAAGACUAAUCGAACCAUCUAGUAGCUGGUUCCCUCCGAAGUUUUCUCUCAGGAUAGCAAAGACAGUUAAAGCAGUUUUAUUUGAGGUAAAGAAUAAAUGAUUAGAAGCAUCUGGGAUUUAUUUGUGUAUCUCGACUUAGUUCUCAAACUCUAAAUAUUGUAAUAGCUCGGUAUUUCUUAAGUG